GGCAUCUCCGUCUCUCACUCUCUCGGCGGCUCUGUCUGGUUCAGCGGUUCACAGCGUGCGGCUCCAGCCCAGACGGUGACGUCACGCCUCUCAUUCCCCUGCAGUAUGAUUGGAGGUCAUCGUGGGACAAUCACGUGCGGCUACGCAUGAAGGCAGGCACGCAGCGCGGCAUGUGAGGCUCGGCGAGGUGCUGGCCAGACCUCGCGCUUAUCCAAGCUGGGGGCGGCAAAUACCUCCCAUAUAAAAUGCAGACAGCACUCAACAUCAACUGUUCACAGAGAAACCUGCAUGAAUCAUGCUUCCAUGGUAGAAUAGCUGCAAAGAAACCACUACUGAAGAAGAGAAAUAAGAAGAAGUGACUUGCAGAAGUGUGUUUGCAUAAAUGCAACUCACUUUCCCCCUCUUUAUAUUGUGCAAGUGUGUUUUAACUGACUCAGAGAAAGAGGUAAUGUAUGCUUUAUUAUUCCUCGAGGAGUAAUUUGGCACCACUGUUGGUAAUAAUGCAGUUUGGAAUAUAUAAAUUAUCCCAACUGCAUACAGCAAAAAAGCAUAAUGUAACUGAAUAAACAAUGUUCAUUCAUCUAGUUUAUUACCACCUUAAUUUCUGGGUUAUGGGGGCCAAAGUCAUCCCAGCAACACUGCACACAAUGUAGAAGGCAAGCCUUCAUGCGUUACCAGACCUUAGAAGACCACACGUGAAAUUUGCCUUAACUCUGUUUUUGGGUAGAGAGAGAAAAAGUCAUACAUUCAAAGAGAAUUGUGCAAACCCCACAGAAGUGAUAUAACCACUACAACUGUUUCUCUGUUUUCAGUAAUUGCCACACCUAUAAUAGAAUAUAACCCAUAACAUAUUCUCAUUACAUACAAAAAAUACAUGUAGUAAUUAGGCGAUGGGCAUUAAUAAAGCAACACAUUAAUAUUAACUGUAAUAAUAAACAGGUUUUAGAAUAUUAUGUAUUAAUUUUGGGCAACAUGGGGGAUGCAGUGGUUAGCAUUGCUAACAUAUGGAUUCUGUGACUGGGGUUUUAAUUCUGCAGUUCUGUGUUGUGUUUGCACAAUUUUCAUGUGUCUGUCGGUAUCCCCCAAUUCUCAGCUUUUCUUUUGCACUUCAAAAAGAUGCAUUUUAAAUCUAACAAAACAAUCAAAGACAUACUGUACACUAGUUUGUUGGGGUUUAGCAGUUAUAAAUAGAAUCAAUAAGACAUACUAAAGAAAACAGUGAAGAUAUAUAAAUCAGUGAACUACUAAAAACCUGCCCCUACCCAGUGUAGACAGCCAUUUGAUACCACAGAGUGCAUCAUAUUACAGUUACUCAAUUAAAUUAGAACAUCAGAGUUUAAAACAAAAUGCAGGGAGUCUGUUUUAGAUUGCUUGCCAAAGUAUGAAAUCUCUGUGGUGUUUCAUGUGAUUUAUCGUUUUUUCUACUUUUAGAUAAUGCAACACAUGUUUAUAUAGUUUUGGAGGGUGCCUUGUGAUUCUUGCACUUAAACAGAAUGAACUGGUGUGCACAAAAUGUAGUAAAAGAAAAUCAUUGUGUGCUUAUUUCUAGAUAGUCUAAUCUUGUGCUGUACUAUUCCACUGCUGUAAAAGAAUUUGGAAUCAUUUUAAAUCCAACAGUAUCUGACAGAUAAGUAAAUAUCUGCACCCAGUGGUGGUUUUUGAUAUGGGCGACAUGGGUCGUUGUCCAGGGGGGCAUCGGAAAAAAUUAUUUUUUUUUUAUUCUUGCGCAUGCCCAUGCUGCCCCGACAUCAUGCCAGUGCAUUUUUGGGUUUGUAUUGGCACCGAUCGGUUUUCUAUUGCCCAUUUGCGGGUAAUAAGGGCGCCCUCCAUUUGCGAGGUGUGCUUGCUGCUUGCAGAAAAGGGAGGAGAGGGACGGGGCGGCGGGGGAUUCUCUGGCUGGCUGACAUGGCAUCUAAUAACCAGCUCGCAAAAUAAAACAAAAUAAAAACAAACAAACCAACACAAAAGCACCAGACAUGAUGUAGACUUAUAAUUUGCACUGAUGUGUUUUCUAAAUUCUAUCACACCCAUACAUGCAGAAAGUGAGCGCGAGGGCCCUCGGUGCACCUGCUUGCUGCUGCUGCUGUGCUGAAGUCUCACACACAACCUGUCAAAAGGGGAGAGGGGCGGGGAGCUUCCAAAUAAAGCACAUUUCAUUCAUAAUAUUGCCAAUCCAAGCCCAUUAUGUCACAAUUCAUUUUUCCUGGGUUGUGAGAAAUCGCAG
Polypterus senegalus (gray bichir) is the source of this 2224-nucleotide long non-coding RNA. RefSeq lists it as uncharacterized. NCBI's taxonomy places the organism in Eukaryota, Metazoa, Chordata, Cladistia, Polypteriformes, Polypteridae. The transcript has 2 exons. The record is from RefSeq and is a predicted model, not a curated record.